UGGCUCAGUGGUGGAGUGUUUGCCUAGGAUGCAAACAGCUUUGAGUUCAAUCCUCAG
This 57-nucleotide transfer RNA is filed under the name Mus musculus (house mouse). It matches the Rfam family "tRNA", at positions 8 to 63 of the family's 71-position model. Rfam says of the family: Transfer RNA (tRNA) molecules are approximately 80 nucleotides in length. Their secondary structure includes four short double-helical elements and three loops (D, anti-codon, and T loops). Further hydrogen bonds mediate the characteristic L-shaped molecular structure. tRNAs have two regions of fundamental functional importance: the anti-codon, which is responsible for specific mRNA codon recognition, and the 3' end, to which the tRNAs corresponding amino acid is attached (by aminoacyl-tRNA synthetases). tRNAs cope with the degeneracy of the genetic code in two manners: having more than one tRNA (with a specific anti-codon) for a particular amino acid; and 'wobble' base-pairing, i.e. permitting non-standard base-pairing at the 3rd anti-codon position. The record is from Rfam by way of RNAcentral. Lineage: Eukaryota; Metazoa; Chordata; Mammalia; Rodentia; Muridae.